Molecule: long non-coding RNA, 1793 nt
Organism: Oncorhynchus keta (chum salmon)
Lineage: Eukaryota; Metazoa; Chordata; Actinopteri; Salmoniformes; Salmonidae
Exons: 2
Source: RefSeq, a predicted model, not a curated record
UGACAGUGACAUGGCCGUGGUCCCUGUAUCUGGCCCAGGUGCAGAGCAGAUCCCAGAUUAGACAGACGGGCUUAAACCUUCUGUUGUCCAUCAGCUGUGAUGAAAGUCUUGGUCUGACAGGUACACAACAUGUAAUCCACCAAGAAGAGACUGGAGCGUGUUGUUUAAGCAUGAAGACAACACUACAACACUGUAGACUGGAGCGUGUUGUUUAAGCAUGAAGACAGCACCACAACACUGUAGACUGGAGCGUGUUGUUUAAGCAUGAAGACAGCACCACAACACUGUAGACUGGAGCGUGUUGUUUAAGCCUGAAGACAGCACCACAACACUGUAGACUGGAGCGUGUUGUUUUAAGCAUGAAGACAACAUCACAACACUGUAGACUGGAGCGUGUUGUUUAAGCAUGACGACAGCACCACAACACUGUAGACUGGAGCGUGUUGUUUAAGCAUGAAGACAACAUCACAACAUUGUAGACUGGAGCGUGUUGUUUAAGCAUGAAGACAACAUCACAACACUGUAGACUGGAGCGUGUUGUUUAAGCAUGACGACAGCACCACAACACUGUAGACUGGAGCGUGUUGUUUAAGCAUGACGACAGCACCACAACACUGUAGACUGGAGCGUGUUGUUUAAGCAUGACGACAGCACCACAACACUGUAGACUGGAGCGUGUUGUUUAAGCAUGACGACAGCAUCACAACACUGUAGACUGGAGCGUGUUGUUAAAGCCUGAAGACAGCACCACAACACUGUAGACUGGAGCGUGUUGUUUAAGCAUGAAGACAGCAUCACAACACUAUAGACUGGAGCGUGUUGUUAAAGCCUGAAGACAGCACCACAACACUAUAGACUGGAGCGUAUUGUUUAAGCAUGAAGACAGCAUCACAACACUAUAGACUGGAGCGUGUUGUUUAAGCAUGAAGACAGCAUCACAACACUAUAGACUGGAGCGUGUUGUUUAAGCAUGAAGACAGCAUCACAACACUGUAGACUGGAGCGUGUUGUUUAAGCAUGAAGACAGCAUCACAACACUGUAGACUGGAGAGUGUUGUUUAAGCAUGAAGACAGCAUCACAACACUGUAGACUGGAGCGUGUUGUUUAAGCAUGAAGACAGCAUCACAACACUGUAGACUGGAGCGUGUUGUUUAAGCAUGAAGACAGCAUCACAACACUGUAGACUGGAGCGUGUUGUUUAAGCAUGAAGACAACACUGUAGACUGGAGCGUAUUGUUUAAGCAUGAAGACAGCACCACAACACUGUAGACUGGAGCGUGUUGUUUAAGCAUGAAGACAGCAUCACAACACUGUAGACUGGAGCGUGUUGUUUAAGCAUGAAGACAGCACCACAACACUGUAGACUGGAGCGUGUUGUUUAAGCAUGAAGACAGCACCACAACACUGUAGACUGGAGCGUGUUGUUUUAAGCAUGAAGACAGCAUCACAACACUAUAGACUGGAGCGUAUUGUUUAAGCAUGAAGACAGCAUCACAACACUGUAGACUGGAGCGUGUUGUUUAAGCCUGAAGACAGCAUCACAACACUAUAGACUGGAGCGUGUUGUUUAAGCAUGAAGACAGCACCACAACACUGUAGACUGGAGCGUAUUGUGGAGGCUUGUUGAGAUGGGUCUGUUGACACGCUGGGUGUAUUGUAUGUAUAGUGUCCAUGGGUUAAUAAGAAGAGCACAUUUUAGAAUAGGAUAAUUAUAACCGAUUGCCAAGUAAGAUAGACUGUGAAAUGCAUAGUUGGUUCAAUUUCUUACUCAAUAAAAUUGCUUUCUACUAUU